UACGAAGGGUGCAAGCGUUACUCGGAAUUACUGGGCGUAAAGCGUGCGUAGGUGGUCUGUUAAGUCUGAUGUGAAAGCCCUGGGCUCAACCUGGGAAUUGCAUUGGAUACUGGCAGGCUAGAGUGCGGUAGAGGGUAGUGGAAUUCCCGGUGUAGCAGUGAAAUGCGUAGAGAUCGGGAGGAACACCAGUGGCGAAGGCGACUACCUGGACCAGCACUGACACUGAGGCACGGAAAGCGUGGGGGAGCAAAACAGGG
This 257-nucleotide ribosomal RNA is filed under the name uncultured bacterium. Its description in RNAcentral is "partial 16S ribosomal RNA". It matches the Rfam family "Bacterial small subunit ribosomal RNA", at positions 524 to 777 of the family's 1533-position model. The record is from RNAcentral.